RNAcentral lists this ribosomal RNA (254 nucleotides) under uncultured bacterium. RNAcentral's name for it is "partial 16S ribosomal RNA". It matches the Rfam family "Bacterial small subunit ribosomal RNA", at positions 524 to 776 of the family's 1533-position model. The record is from RNAcentral.
UACGUAGGGGGCAAGCGUUGUUCGGAUUUACUGGGCGUAAAGGGCGCGUAGGCGGCCACCGCAAGUCGACUGUGAAAUCUCCGGGCUUAACUCGGAAAGGUCAGCCGAUACUGCGGGGCUAGAGUGCAGAAGGGGCAACUGGAAUUCCUGGUGUAGCGGUGAAAUGCGCAGAUAUCAGGAGGAACACCGGUGGCGAAGGCGGGUCUCUGGGCCGAUACUGACGCUGAGGAGCGAAAGCGUGGGGAGCGAACAGG